This 468-nucleotide ribosomal RNA is filed under the name uncultured bacterium. Its description in RNAcentral is "partial 16S ribosomal RNA". It matches the Rfam family "Bacterial small subunit ribosomal RNA", at positions 28 to 507 of the family's 1533-position model. The record is from RNAcentral.
GACGAACGCUGGCGGCGUGCUUAACACAUGCAAGUCGAACGGAAAGGCCCUGCUUUUGUGGGGUGCUCGAGUGGCGAACGGGUGAGUAACACGUGAGUAACCUGCCCUUGACUUUGGGAUAACUUCAGGAAACUGGGGCUAAUACCGGAUAGGAGCUCCUGCUGCAUGGUGGGGGUUGGAAAGUUUCGGCGGUUGGGGAUGGACUCGCGGCUUAUCAGCUUGUUGGUGGGGUAGUGGCUUACCAAGGCUUUGACGGGUAGCCGGCCUGAGAGGGUGACCGGCCACAUUGGGACUGCGAUACGGCCCAGACGCCUACGGGAGGCAGAAGUGGGGAAUAUUGCACAAUGGGCGGAAGCCUGAUGCAGCAACGCCGCGUGCGGGAUGACGGCCUUCGGGUUGUAAACCGCUUUCGCCUGUGACGAAGCGUGAGUGACGGUAAUGGGUAAAGAAGCACCGGCUAACUACGUG